ACUACGCAUAGGUGACAGUGGCGGRCGUUGGAGCGCUCCSUGAGUGCGGCGGACGGGUGAGUAACACGUGGGUAACCUGCCUGUAAGACUGGGAUAACUCCGGGAAACCGGGGCUAAUACCGGAUGGUUGUUUGAACCGCAUGGUUCAAACAUAAAAGGUGGCUUGGCUACCACUUACAGAUGGACCCGCGGCGCAUUAGCUAGUUGGUGAGGUAACGGCUCACCAAGGCRACGAUGCGUAGCCGACCUGAGAGGGUGAUCGGCCACACUGGGACUGAGACACGGCCCAGACUCCUACGGGAGGCAGCAGUAGGGAAUCUUCCGCAAUGGACGAAAGUCUGACGGAGCAACGCCGCGUGAGUGAUGAAGGUUUUCGGAUCGUAAAGCUCUGUUGUUAGGGAAGAACAAGUACCGUUCGAAUAGGGCGGUACCUUGACGGUACCUAACCAGAAAGCCACGGCUAACUACGUGCCAGCAGCCGCGGUAAUACGUAGGUGGCAAGCGUUGUCCGGAAUUAUUGGGCGUAAAGGGCUCGCAGGCGGUUUCUUAAGUCUGAUGUGAAAGCCCCCGGCUCAACCGGGGAGGGUCAUUGGAAACUGGGGAACUUGAGUGCAGAAGAGGAGAGUGGAAUUCCACGUGUAGCGGUGAAAUGCGUAGAGAUGUGGAGGAACACCAGUGGCGAAGGCGACUCUCUGGUCUGUAACUGACGCUGAGGAGCGAAAGCGUGGGGAGCGAACAGGAUUAGAUACCCUGGUAGUCCACGCCGUAAACGAUGAGUGCUAAGUGUUAGGGGGUUUCCGCCCCUUAGUGCUGCAGCUAACGCAUUAAGCACUCCGCCUGGGGAGUACGGUCGCAAGACUGAAACUCAAAGGAAAUUGACGGGGGCCCGCACAGCKGUGGAGCAUGUGGUUUAAUUCGAAGCAACGCGAAGAAACCUUACCAGGUCUUGACAUCUCUGACAAUCCUAGAGAUAGGACGUCCCCCUUCGGGGGCGAGCUGACAGGUUGGCUGCAUGAUGUCGUUCAGCUUCGUGAUCGAUGGAGCAUGCCUG
Molecule: ribosomal RNA, 1051 nt
Filed under: Bacillus subtilis
Lineage: Bacteria; Bacillati; Bacillota; Bacilli; Caryophanales; Bacillaceae
Description: bacterial SSU rRNA
Rfam family: Bacterial small subunit ribosomal RNA
Source: RNAcentral